Molecule: ribosomal RNA, 467 nt
Filed under: uncultured bacterium
Lineage: Bacteria
Description: partial 16S ribosomal RNA
Rfam family: Bacterial small subunit ribosomal RNA
Source: RNAcentral
GAUGAACGCUGGCGGCGUGCUUAACACAUGCCAGUCGAACGGAAAGGCCCAAGCUUGCUUUGGUACUCGAGUGGCGAACGGGUGAGUAACCCGUGGGUGAUCUUCCCUGCACUUCGGGAUAAGCCGGGGAAACUGGGUCUAAUACCGGAUAGGACCACUUCUUGGUUGUUGUGGUUGAAAGUUUUUUCGGUGUGGGAUGAGGUGGCGGCCUAUCAGCUUGUUGGUGGGGUAAUGGCCUACCAAGGCGUCGACGGGUAGCCGGCCUGAGAGGGUGUACGGCGGUAUUGGGACUGAGAGACGGCAGAGACUGCUAAGGGAGGCAGCAGGGGGGAAGAGUGAACAAGGGGCGCAAGGCGGGUGAAGCGGGGCUGCGUGGGGGAUGACGGCCUUCGGGGGGUAGACGCCUUGCGAGAGGGAAGAAGCGUUUUGUGACGGUACCUGGAGAAGAAGCACCGGCUAACUACGUG